UCACCCCUAUGUGCACCACCGCGUGGGUCCCCCUUUCGGCUUGUUCGGAGGGGGGCUUGCGUUUUCACACAAACAUUGAUGCAGUGUAGAAUGUCUUUUAUUUUAUUUGCGAUCACACGCAAUCAAUACAACUUUCAACAACGGAUCUCUUGGCUCUCGCAUCGAUGAAGAACGCAGCGAAAUGCGAUACGUAAUGUGAAUUGCAGAAUUCAGUGAAUCAUCGAAUCUUUGAACGCACCUUGCGCCCCUUGGCAUUCCGAGGGGCACACCCGUUUGAGUGUCGUGAAAUUAUCAAAACCCUUUCUUUUUGGUCUUUUGAUCUGGGGAAAGGUUUUGGACUUGGAGGCCUUUUGCUGGUUUCGCCUUGAAGCGAGCUCCUCCUAAAUGAAUUAGUGGGGUCUGCUUUGCCCGAUCCUUGACGUGAUAAGAUGCUUCUACGUCUCGGGUUUGGCACUGUCCCUUGGGCACCUGCUUCUAACC
This 480-nucleotide ribosomal RNA is filed under the name Russula fellea. RNAcentral's name for it is "eukaryotic LSU rRNA". The stretch from base 130 to 283 matches the Rfam family "5.8S ribosomal RNA". Lineage: Eukaryota; Fungi; Basidiomycota; Agaricomycetes; Russulales; Russulaceae. The record is from RNAcentral.